UAGCUGUGCCUGAAGGAACU
Molecule: non-coding RNA, 20 nt
Filed under: Rattus norvegicus (Norway rat)
Lineage: Eukaryota; Metazoa; Chordata; Mammalia; Rodentia; Muridae
Source: RNAcentral